CAGUUUGUAGUUUAUUUAGAACUUAGGCUUUGGGGGUUUGGAGUCUCUUUGAAAAAGAGCAUGCUGA
RNAcentral lists this transfer RNA (67 nucleotides) under Haematoloechus sp. CW13H. RNAcentral's name for it is "tRNA-Pro". Lineage: Eukaryota; Metazoa; Platyhelminthes; Trematoda; Plagiorchiida; Haematoloechidae. The record is from RNAcentral.